This 253-nucleotide ribosomal RNA is filed under the name uncultured bacterium. RNAcentral describes it as "partial 16S ribosomal RNA". It matches the Rfam family "Bacterial small subunit ribosomal RNA", at positions 524 to 776 of the family's 1533-position model. The record is from RNAcentral.
UACGUAGGGGGCUAGCGUUGUCCGGAAUCAUUGGGCGUAAAGCGCGUGUAGGCGGUCCGGUAAGUCCGCUGUGAAAGUCGAGGGCUCAACCCUCGAAUGCCGGUGGAUACUGUCGGGCUUGAGUACGGGAGAGGCGAGUGGAAUUCCUGGUGUAGCGGUGAAAUGCGCAGAUAUCAGGAGGAACACCGGUGGCGAAGGCGGAUCUCUGGGCCUUACCUGACGCUCAGGUGCGAAAGCUAGGGGAGCGAACAGG